RNAcentral lists this long non-coding RNA (820 nucleotides) under Anser cygnoides (Swan goose). RNAcentral describes it as "lncRNA (ENSACDG00005014826.1)". Lineage: Eukaryota; Metazoa; Chordata; Aves; Anseriformes; Anatidae. The record is from RNAcentral.
AACCCCCCCAAAACCAGCCCUGGGAGGGGGAAGGCGGCCCCAAAAUCGCCCUUUUUCGCCCCAAAUCCUUUUCGUUGCUCUCUUCCCGCCUCCAAAAUGGCGGCGGCGAGGGGGCGUGGCCUGACGAGGGGGCGUGGCCUAAUGGGGGCGUGGCCUGACGAGGGGGCGUGGCCUAAUGGGGGCGUGGCCUGCUGAGGGGGCGUGGCCUAAUGGGGGCGUGGCCUGCUGAGGGGGCGUGGCCUAAUGGGGGCGUGGCCUGCUGAGGGGGCGUGGCCUAAUGGGGGCGUGGCCUAAUGGGGGGCGUGGCCUGUUGCUGACCCCGCCCCCUGCCACGCCCAGGCGGCCUCGGAGGCUCCUGAUUCGUUCCUGCUCUUCGAUGACGACGACGACGAGGAGGAGGCGGAGCCAAUGGACGAUGACGUCAGCAGCGACGAGGAGGCGGAGCUAAUCGAGGUGGAGGUGGGCGGAGCCUACGCGGCCGAGGUGGAGGACGCCUGCGAGGCCCUGGGGGAGGUCGCGGAGCACAGCGGCGCCGCCUUCCUGCCCUACCUGGACGCCAGCCUGGAGGCGGUGAUGGGGCUGCUGGCGGUGAGGCCCCGCCCCUUCCCGUGACGUCACCGCCCCGGCGAUGACGUCACGCCCUGGCGAUGGCGUCACCGCCCCGGUGAUGACGUCAUCGCCCCCGUGAUGACGUCAUCGCCCCCCCCCAGUUCCCCCUGGCCGACGUCCGCGCCGCCGCCUACCAGGCCCUGGGCAGCCUCUGCCUGGGGGCGGGGCGAGCGCGAGGCCACGCCCCCAAGGAAGGUGAGGCCCCGCCCAC